Molecule: ribosomal RNA, 357 nt
Filed under: Triticum aestivum (bread wheat)
Lineage: Eukaryota; Viridiplantae; Streptophyta; Magnoliopsida; Poales; Poaceae
Description: partial small subunit ribosomal RNA
Source: RNAcentral
AUGCGUCAAUAUUGGUGGGGUGUUGAAAAGGGGAAGCAUAAAAUGGCCUGGCUCAGUUGGGACAAGAUGAGAUUACCGAAACUUAUGUGUGGUAUGGGUUUUCGCGAUAUGAGGGCCUUCAAUCAAGCGUUGCUGGCCAAACAAGCUUGGCGUCUUGUCGACACACCAGAGAGUUUGUGUGCGAGGCUACUAAAGGCGAAAUAUUUUCCUUCCGGGAACUUGCUGGACUCGGUGUUCUCCAAUAACGGUUCAGCCGUUUGGAAAGGAAUAUUGCACGGUCUUGAUCUACUUAAAGGAGUUAUCCAGCGAGUGGGGAAUGGGGCGCUCAUACGUACCUGGAGGGAUCCUUGGAUUCCA